RNAcentral lists this ribosomal RNA (484 nucleotides) under uncultured bacterium. RNAcentral describes it as "partial 16S ribosomal RNA". It matches the Rfam family "Bacterial small subunit ribosomal RNA", at positions 28 to 523 of the family's 1533-position model. The record is from RNAcentral.
GACGAACGCUGGCGGCGUGCUUAACACAUGCAAGUCGAACGAUGAAGCUGGAGCUUGCUCCGGUGGAUUAGUGGCGAACGGGUGAGUAACACGUGAGCAAUCUGCCCUUGACUCUGGGAUAACUGCGGGAAACUGUAGCUAAUACCGGAUACUUUCACUGGAAGGCAUCUUCUGGUGAAGAAAGAAUUUCGGUCAAGGAUGAGCUCGCGGCCCAUCAGCUUGGUGGUGAGGUAACGGCUCACCAAGGCGACGACGGGUAGCCGGCCUGGGAGGGUGACCGGCCACACGGGGACUGAGACACGGCCCAGAAUCCUACGGGAGGCAGCAGUGGGGAAUAUCGCACAAUGGGCGCAAGCCUGAUGCAGCAACGCCGCGUGAGGGAUGAAGGCCUUCGGGUUGUAAACCUCUUUUAGCAGGGAAGAAGCGAAAGUGACGGUACCUGCAGAAAAAGCACCGGCUAACUACGUGCCAGCCGCCGCGGUAA